UCUGAUUGGGUGGGAUAAAAAUAAUUUUCUUCUAUUUUUUUUGUUAUGUAAUUUUCUCUCUCGUUUGUUUCCUGUCUCUCUCCCUUAAUCGACUUCCAUAUCAUCUCCACGGAAAAGACACGAUAGAAUUGAAAGGUUAUUCAGUCGGUGAUUCAGUCAGAAAGUGGAUUUUACCGGCGGCAUCACAUCUCCACCGUAAGAGACACCAUCGACGAUCUCGGUUCAUCAAUCCAUCGCGAUUAAUUAGUGGGUUCAUCAAUCCAAUCACAUCUCCUGAUUCUACUGUGGAAAAAAUAGAAAGUUUCAAGCUUAUUCAAAUUGGUUAGAGUCAAGAGAAGUAAGAAAUGGAGAAACGAGUGAGAGAAGACAAGAGUGUUCAACAACUCAUGUACUUGAGCAUUUGUGCUUUUGAUUAUCGCAGAGAUAUUUCUCCAUCAAGUAGACAGUGCUACUGUUUUCCACAAUGCAAGCACAAGAUUCUUUGAUGGUUUUAGAUUCGGAUUUGGUGCAGAGGUAGGGAAGAGAGAGACAUAUUAUAUCACAUCUAUUAAACCGAAUAGAUAGAGAAGUGUCUAUGAAUGAGUGGUUAAUGUGGGUGGUUCUUCUUAUGUAUAUGUGGGAAUAAGCACAAGCAGGAUCUAUGCCCGUGAUCCAGUCAGAGUAGAAGGAUUAUUGACAACGAGAUGGAUAAUGAGAGGAAAAGGACAAGU
Non-coding RNA from Camelina sativa (false flax), 710 nucleotides. The record is from RefSeq and is a predicted model, not a curated record. Lineage: Eukaryota; Viridiplantae; Streptophyta; Magnoliopsida; Brassicales; Brassicaceae.